Long non-coding RNA from Brienomyrus brachyistius, 232 nucleotides. RefSeq lists it as uncharacterized. Lineage: Eukaryota; Metazoa; Chordata; Actinopteri; Osteoglossiformes; Mormyridae. The transcript is spliced from 3 exons. The record is from RefSeq and is a predicted model, not a curated record.
GUCUGGCAGGAACGUAUGCUGCUGGCUACACGAUGGACGGAUGGGAGCGGUGGAGGGUCGUGUGCCUGGCAGCUCUUUCCGUGGAGGACAUUGAAGACAUCUACCUAUUCGGAACCAUGAUUACAGGCCUGGGGGCUGAAGCUAAUUCAGUGGUAAAGACAUGAGCUCGUCUCUUGGAGGUCGACGUGAGGAGGUCUGCACUGGAAAAGACCACACUGAGACCAAACAGCUG